CUCUAUAUGCCUUUAUUACAUAAGUAAGCAAGGGAAAUAUUUAUAGCUUUGGGAUGAGACCGUACGGUAUCAGCUAGUUGGUGAGGUAAUGGCUCACCAAGGCAAUGACAUCUAACUGGUUUGAGAGGAUGAUCAGUCACACUGGAACUGAGACACGGUCCAGACUCCUACGGGAGGCAGCAGUGGGGAAUAUUGCACAAUGGAGGAAACUCUGAUGCAGCAACGCCGCGUGGAGGAUGACACAUUUCGGUGCGUAAACUCCUUUUAUAUGAGAAGAUAAUGACGGUAUCAUAUGAAUAAGCACCGGCUAACUCCGUGCCAGCA
Molecule: ribosomal RNA, 324 nt
Filed under: uncultured bacterium
Lineage: Bacteria
Description: bacterial SSU rRNA
Rfam family: Bacterial small subunit ribosomal RNA
Source: RNAcentral